RNAcentral lists this unclassified non-coding RNA (348 nucleotides) under soil metagenome. RNAcentral describes it as "partial contains 5.8S ribosomal RNA, internal transcribed spacer 2, and large subunit ribosomal RNA". The stretch from base 1 to 120 matches the Rfam family "5.8S ribosomal RNA", at positions 35 to 154 of the family's 154-position model. The record is from RNAcentral.
GAUGAAGAACGUAGCGAAAUGCGAUAAGUAAUGUGAAUUGCAGAAUUCCGUGAAUCAUCGAAUCUUUGAACGCAUAUUGCGCCCUCUGGUAUUCCGGAGGGCAUGCCUGUCCGAGCGUCAUUUCAACCCUCAUGCCCCUAGGGCGUGGUGUUGGGGAUCGGCCAAAGCCCGCGAGGGACGGCCGGCCCCUAAAUCUAGUGGCGGACCCGUCGUGGCCUCCUCUGCGAAGUAGUGAUAUUCCGCAUCGGAGAGCGAUGAGCCCCUGCCGUUAAACCCCCAACUUUCCAAGGUUGACCUCAGAUCAGGUAGGAAUACCCGCUGAACUUAAGCAUAUCAAUAAGCGGAGGA